AACGAACGCUGGCGGCAUGCCUAACACAUGCAAGUCGAACGAGACCUUCGGGUCUAGUGGCGCACGGGUGCGUAACGCGUGGGAAUCUACCCUUGGGUUCGGAAUAACAGUUAGAAAUGACUGCUAAUACCGGAUGAUGACGUAAGUCCAAAGAUUUAUCGCCCAAGGAUGAGCCCGCGUAAGAUUAGCCUGUUGGUGGGGUAAUGGCCUACCAAGGCGACGAUCUUUAGCUGGUCUGAGAGGAUGAUCAGCCACACUGGGACUGAGACACGGCCCAGACUCCUACGGGAGGCAGCAGUUGGGAAUAUUGGACAAUGGGCGAAAGCCUGAUCCGGCAAUGCCGCGUGAGUGAUGAAGGCCUUAGGGUUGUAAAGCUCUUUUACCAGGGAUGAUAAUGACAGUACCUGGAGAAUAAGCUCCGGCUAACUCCGUGCCAGCAGCCGCAGUAA
RNAcentral lists this ribosomal RNA (449 nucleotides) under uncultured bacterium. Its description in RNAcentral is "partial 16S ribosomal RNA". It matches the Rfam family "Bacterial small subunit ribosomal RNA", at positions 29 to 523 of the family's 1533-position model. The record is from RNAcentral.